RNAcentral lists this ribosomal RNA (515 nucleotides) under uncultured bacterium. RNAcentral describes it as "partial 16S ribosomal RNA". It matches the Rfam family "Bacterial small subunit ribosomal RNA", at positions 29 to 523 of the family's 1533-position model. The record is from RNAcentral.
AACGAACGCUGGCGGCGUGCUUAACACAUGCAAGUCGAACGCGAAAGGGACUUCGGUCCUGAGUAAAGUGGCGCACGGGUGAGUAACGCGUAGAUAACCUGUCUUCGUGUCUGGAAUAAUACGCCGAAAGGUGUACUAAUACCGGAUAUUCUUGCUUUAUAUAAGUUUUGCAAGCAAAGGUGGCCUCUGCAUAUGCUACCGCAUGAAGAGGGGUCUGCGUACCAUUAGCUAGUAGGUAGGGUAAUGGCCUACCUAGGCGACGAUGGUUAGCGGGUCUGAGAGGAUGAUCCGCCCCACUGGCACUGGAACACGGGCCAGACUCCUACGGGAGGCACCAGUGAGGAAUAUUGCGCAAUGGGGGCAACCCUGACGCAGCGACGCCGCGUGAGUGAGGAAGGCCUUCGGGUCGUAAAGCUCUGUCAAGAGGAAAGAAGUGCAUAGCGGUUAAUACCCGUUAUGUUCGACGGUACCUCUAAAGGAAGCACCGGCUAACUCCGUGCCAGCCGCCGCAGUAA